Molecule: ribosomal RNA, 253 nt
Filed under: uncultured bacterium
Lineage: Bacteria
Description: partial 16S ribosomal RNA
Rfam family: Bacterial small subunit ribosomal RNA
Source: RNAcentral
UACGUAGGGUGCGAGCGUUGUCCGGAAUUAUUGGGCGUAAAGGGCUCGUAGGCGGUCUGUUGCGUCAGGAGUGAAAACUCGGGGCUUAACCCCGAGCCUGCUUCUGAUACGGGCAGACUAGAGGUAUGCAGGGGAGAACGGAAUUCCUGGUGUAGCGGUGAAAUGCGCAGAUAUCAGGAGGAACCCCGGUGGCGAAGGCGGCAUCCUGGACCAAUACUGACGCUGAGGAGCGAAGUCCAGGGGAGCAAACGGG